Molecule: long non-coding RNA, 2164 nt
Organism: Nomascus leucogenys (northern white-cheeked gibbon)
Lineage: Eukaryota; Metazoa; Chordata; Mammalia; Primates; Hylobatidae
Exons: 3
Source: RefSeq, a predicted model, not a curated record
UCUGCAUUGAGGUCAGCAAAAUGCUUUUGGCUCCUACUGAACAGAGAAGGAAACUGAGGCUGGCACGUCCCCAGAUGGAGACGGCGUUCACGACAGCCAGGGGCCAGGGGAUGAUGAGCUGGUUUGUCCUAAGAGAAGGCAUCAUCAUCAUCGUGUUGAUCUCGGCCCGGAGCGUCCACAGCGCUCCUGACAAUGCGAGUCUUCCCCAAAUGGCAUCUCUUUCAUAAAGAGAGACACAGGUCCUGCAAUCCAGGGAGGAGGCAGAGAGGAGUGCUCCGCCCCACACCUGGGCCGUGGGACCGGUGGAGUUCAGGUAAAGCCACACGGAUGGAGAAACCACUUCAUACACUCAGUGAAAGCAGUGUUCCUGAUGAGUUUGAGUCAGCGCUGGGAAAUUACAGUCAGAAUCAACUGCAGCAAAUCAACAUCCUCUCUGCCCCUCGGUCUUCUCCUCCGCAGAGUGGGCUAGAAGAAGGAUGCCAGAGAUCUCGAGCUUUGGAGGUGGAUGGACCUGAGUGUGAGUCAUGGCUCAGCCAUUUGCCAGCUGUGCAAACUCAGACAAGCUGCUUAAGCCGCGUCACGCUUUCUGUAAAGCGAAGGUAGAUGGGGGAUCAGGUAUUGUACAGCGUACAUGGCCCUUAGGAGUGUCUGGUCCAUAGUGAGGGCCCCGUGCAUGGAAGACAUAGCAACCAGGAUGUGUGCUUUCUCUGAGCAGUGGCUUUGCUCCGUGGUGUCCACCGCGUGUAUACUAAUUUUGAGGACCUGGAGCUGGUUUUGAGGACCCUCCCUAGCAAGUACUUAGGAGUCUGCCACACACAGGUUGAGCACAGAUUCAUCUCUGGCUUCAACUCACAGCUUUCCUGUUGCUUUCCUUAGGCCGGUGGUUGACGUAGUCUCCAUGAGCUGUGUGCAUCCUCCGGUGACAGGACAAGAAUUGUGCCCCCCCCAGGAAGGUCCCCAGCCUUCCCCCACCUGCCCUCUGUGGAGUAUUCUGCCUUGAUCUUCUCUCAUCCGUCUGUUAGGGGUCCUGUCUUUGUGAUGUCAGCAUGAAGUGGAAUCUGCAGAAUGGCUAAAGUGGAGGGAAGACUGAAAAUUCAUUGGAUGAUGAUAGCAGCAUCAUUUACAAUCACCAUGACUUGGAAGCAGCCGAGAUGUCCUCUGGCAGGUAAUUGGAGAAAUGAACUGUGGCACGUCCACACAGACCAUGGAGUACUAUUCAGUGCUAAAAAUGAGUGAGCUUUCCAUCCAUGAAAAGACAUAGAGAAACCUGAAAUGCAGAUCACAAAGUGAAAGGCCAAUCUGGAAAGGCUACAUACCCUAUGACUCCAAACCUGUGACAUUCCCAAAGAGGAAAAAUUAUGGGGACAGUAAAAAGAGGAGCUGCCAUCAUUAGGGAAGCAGGAGCUGAGGAGAGUCAGAGUGACACCAUUGAAAAAUCUUCUCUGUCUUGAGACUAACAAGGCACCUUCCUUGCCAGUCACAACCCAUGGUCCUAAGAGGGUCACAGCUAAGGAGGCAGCUUGGUACUGCCUGCAAGGACAAACUCCUAAAACAACAGAAAGCCCAGAUGUCCCAAUACCCAUAACAAUAUGUGCUUUCAAGAUAAUUAUAGAUAUGCUUUGAUGUACUCAUGUAGUAGACUGUUAAGGAUAGUUUUCUUUAAAUCAAUAGCAUAAUCAAUUUUGUCAUGCUGUCUGCUCCCCCUCACAGAGUCACAGCUUGGUUUAGUCGUUACAUAGACAAGAUCCCUAUAUAAGAAAAACUUAAAACAAAGAUGGUGCAUUCUCUCGGAAGGUCCCCUGCUCUGUAAUGGAGUAGGUUUUAAUAAACGUGCUUCCUUCGCUGCACCUUGUGACUCACCUUGAAUUCCUUCGUGCGUGAGAUCCAGAAACCCUCUCUUGGGGUCUGGAUCAAGACCCCUUUUCUGGUAACACCAUGGGUUGGGGAGAGGGAAGGAUGAAUAGGUGGAGCACAGGAAUUUUUGGGGGCAGUGAAACUCCUCUGUAUCAUACUGUCACAGUGGGUCCAUGUCAUUAAACAUUUGUCUAAACUCAUAGACUGUACAACACCAACAGUGAGCCCUAAUGUGGACUAUGAACUUGGGGUGAUUGAUAGUGUUUGACCAUGUCCCCACCCAAAUCUCAUCUUGAAUUUCCAUGUGUUG